Molecule: long non-coding RNA, 718 nt
Filed under: Medicago truncatula (barrel medic)
Lineage: Eukaryota; Viridiplantae; Streptophyta; Magnoliopsida; Fabales; Fabaceae
Description: long non-coding RNA (MTRU_LNC007309)
Source: RNAcentral
UAAGGGUUACUUCAAAGAAAACAGGCCUUCAUACUUCAGCAAUGAACAGCAAACCAGACCUAAUGAAAAGACGAAAAGAUGCACAUAAUAUUGUUCAAAUACACAUAGUGACCACCAAGAACUGGACAUCAUAGAGCCAGACAAAAAGAACCAGCUAAAUGCAGAUAGCAGAACAGCACAACAAUAAAAAUCAACCAAGGAUUUAGCAACAUAACAAGGUUAAUUUUUUUUCAAAUACCCAUUAUUAGAAACAAAAAAACCCUAUCAAAAAUCAACAAAAAAAGUCACUACAUAAACUCAAUGAAGACCCAAAUAAUCAAAACAACAAAAACAUAAUCUAGACCUAAAUAGAUAUCUUCAAAGAAUACCCAAAAACAAGAAUCAAAAGGGAAUUUCUAAAUUUUUUUUUAUGAAACUAAUGAAGUCCAUUCAAAGGUGAAACAACACCUAAAAUUAAAAUUCAAGGAAUUUCCCCAGUUAUCACUUCCAAGUGACAAUUUUGGAAGAAGCCUAGACAAAACCCUAACCUCCAAGUGACAAAAUCUUCAAUUUGUGAGCUGCAAUCUAAGAGGGAUUUACGAGCCAAUAUUAGGGAUUUAAGAGAGGGGUUUGUGAUAUGUUUGAAAGAAUUCAGAGAGGGUGACAACUAGGGUACCCAUGGAAAAAUGGUGGGUAAUUUACCCCAACCAAUAAACAUUCACCUUUUUAGGUGGUAUCC